Non-coding RNA from Vicugna pacos (alpaca), 69 nucleotides. The record is from RefSeq and is a predicted model, not a curated record. Lineage: Eukaryota; Metazoa; Chordata; Mammalia; Artiodactyla; Camelidae.
UGAACAGCUCUUCAGAGCCCCCGCAUGUCCCCUAGCAGACAGGGGCUGGGAUUACAUGCUUGCCUCUCA